This 733-nucleotide ribosomal RNA is filed under the name uncultured bacterium. RNAcentral's name for it is "bacterial SSU rRNA". It matches the Rfam family "Bacterial small subunit ribosomal RNA", at positions 770 to 1502 of the family's 1533-position model. The record is from RNAcentral.
AAACAGGAUUAGAUACCCUGGUAGUCUACGCCGUAAACGAUGAGUGCUAAGUGUUGGAGGGUUUCCGCCCUUCAGUGCUGCAGCUAACGCAUUAAGCACUCCGCCUGGGGAGUACGACCGCAAGGUUGAAACUCAAAGGAAUUGACGGGGGCCCGCACAAGCGGUGGAGCAUGUGGUUUAAUUCGAAGCAACGCGAAGAACCUUACCAGGUCUUGACAUCCUUUGACCACUCUAGAGAUAGAGCUUCCCCUUCGGGGGCAAAGUGACAGGUGGUGCAUGGUUGUCGUCAGCUCGUGUCGUGAGAUGUUGGGUUAAGUCCCGCAACGAGCGCAACCCUUAUUGUUAGUUGCCAUCAUUCAGUUGGGCACUCUAGCAAGACUGCCGGUGACAAACCGGAGGAAGGUGGGGAUGACGUCAAAUCAUCAUGCCCCUUAUGACCUGGGCUACACACGUGCUACAAUGGGAAGUACAACGAGUUGCGAAGUCGCGUGGCUAAGCUAAUCUCUUAAAGCUUCUCUCAGUUCGGAUUGCAGGCUGCAACUCGCCUGCAUAAAGCCGGAAUCGCUAGUAAUCGCGGAUCAGCACGCCGCGGUGAAUACGUUCCCGGGCCUUGUACACACCGCCCGUCACACCACGAGAGUUUGUAACACCCGAAGUCGGUGAGGUAACCUUUUUGGAGCCAGCCGCCUAAGGUGGGAUAGAUGAUUGGGGUGAAGUCGUAACAAGGUAACCG